RNAcentral lists this transfer-messenger RNA (362 nucleotides) under Patescibacteria group. RNAcentral describes it as "RBG-16-42-24 sp001792115 X1 Standard tmRNA". It matches the Rfam family "transfer-messenger RNA". From Rfam's summary of the family: Bacterial tmRNA, also known as 10Sa RNA or SsrA, is named for its dual tRNA and mRNA-like properties. RNAcentral also lists the same sequence under 2 other names. The record is from RNAcentral.
GGGGGCGACCGGUUUCGACGGGAAGCUCUUUUAAAAGACGGCAAGCAGACUUUGAUUAGUAGUCUUAAAACAAUAAUCAAAAACUAGCGUCAAUAAACCUAGUCAUAAUUUUGCCUUCGCUUAAAAAACGUUUUAAGGCAAAUGUUCUGAAGGAGGCGCUUCUUGACCGCGCCUUUAGGCAUAAACCUGUCAAGAUGCAGCAGAAUCCCUCUGAUUUAAGGGUUCUACUUAAGAAAUUUAAAUCUUAUUCUAAUUUUUUUGGGUUACUUUAAAGGUUGGAAGAAAUUACAAGGUAACCUAAGCUUGUAGAAGUCUUUUAGUUGACUUUUCGGACGAGGGUUCAAUUCCCUCCGCCUCCACAA